Non-coding RNA from Propithecus coquereli (Coquerel's sifaka), 636 nucleotides. The record is from the annotation of a RefSeq genome assembly. NCBI's taxonomy places the organism in Eukaryota, Metazoa, Chordata, Mammalia, Primates, Indriidae.
AUGACCGGGCUGGGUGGACUCCAAAGCCCUGAAGGAGGCGAAGUUCUGGCCAGUGGGAGCAACCCCCUUCUCCCCCGCGUGGCUCCACCAGCCCACACGAGAAGGAGGCUGGACCCUGGGCCUCCCGAGCAGCUGCAGGUGGGCCUGGGCCGGGUGUGUCGGGAGGGGUUCUUGUGCGGGGCUGCGUCAUGGUGUUAUGUGUUUGGCGGAGGCACGAAAGUGAUCAUCACUGGUAGACCCAAGGCCGCCCCCUCCCGCCCUCCUCUGAGGAGCUCCAAGCCAACAAGGCCACACUGGUAUGUCUGAUCAGUGACUUCUACCCGGGCGCCGUCACCGUGGCCUGGAAGGCAGACAGCAGCCCCGUCACGCAGGGCGUGGAGACCACCCAGCCCUCGAAACAGAGCAACAACAAGUACGCGGCCAGCAGCUACCUGACCCUGUCACCUGAGCAGUGGAAAGGUAGUAGCAGGUUCAGCUGCCUGGUCACCCACGAAGGCAGCACCGUGGAGAAGACAGUGUGCCCUGCAGAGUGUGCUUAGGCCCCCGCACCCCCCACCCUCGGGGGCCUGGAGCUGCAGGAGCCCAGGGAAGGGGUCUCCCCUCCCACCCAGGUCAUCCCAGCCCCUCCCCUGCACC